UAGGACUAGGUUUACAUUUGCAUAGCGCACGGGAAUCUGGCUGCCCCCACCCUAAUCUUUUAUUAGGCAGAUACUUCGCUUCCUGACCUGCGCCAUGUUGCCUGUUUCUUUACUGUGCGUGCGCUGACGAAGAAAAGGGAAGAUGGAGCCUCCGUGUUGAACAUGCCUGGCCCUCAGGGAGUGGCUGUCUCUGGAAGUUCUCUUAUCUGUCCGAGAAAAACUUCUUUCAAAAAAAUGCAAUUGCCUGAAGACCUUCUCCCUAGAAUUCUUAUCAAAUUAUCAGAAAAGAUUAACCACCAGAGAAGAGGAAAUACUAAAAGUUGCCACCAUGCCAAGAUAGCCUUUCCAGCUAUUCUUCUGAGACAGCUCUAGAGGUUACCUGGGAUACUUUACCUGCAUAAUAAGGUUUGCUAUGAAGAAAGCCAUCAUUCUACCAUCAAAAUACAUUCAUGAAGAUGAAGUGAGAUUGGCAAAGAAUGUCCCUGAAUAAAACCUCUAUAUCUGGAUAAUUAUGUUUCUGUGAAUCAUUUUUGAGAAAUUUGUACAAUUCAAGAUUUCAUUUUGGAACUGAAAUGAAAAUGAAAGAAUCUGUUCUUAUAAGAUUUACAGAAAUUCUACUGACUCAAAUGGUCUCGAUAGCUGAUACAAGUACCUGAACUUUUUCACUUUUUCAUAAAGUCUCUGCUGUCUCCAUUACUUUGCCAGCCAUCUAGCUUGUAGCUGUUAUGUCUGACUUCAUUCUUGAUUGCUCUCACCUGAUUUUUUUCUUUCUUUUUUUUUUUUUUUUAAGUCCACUUUAUUUCUCUUUCUAAUCAAACUCCUCUCCUUUCUCCCGGAGGUAAUCAUGAUCUGACUUUUAUGAUAAUCAUUCUGACUUUUUCUUUUCUUUCUUCUUUUCUUU
This is a long non-coding RNA of Symphalangus syndactylus (siamang), 901 nucleotides long. RefSeq lists it as uncharacterized. The record is from RefSeq and is a predicted model, not a curated record. Lineage: Eukaryota; Metazoa; Chordata; Mammalia; Primates; Hylobatidae.